AACGCGAAGAACCUUACCUACCCUUGACAUCCUGCGAAUCCUGAUGAGAGUUGGGAGUGCCGAAAGGAACGCAGAGACAGGUGCUGCAUGGCUGUCGUCAGCUCGUGUUGUGAGAUGUUGGGUUAAGUCCCGUAACGAGCGCAACCCUUGUCCUUAGUUGCCAGCAUUCAGUUGGGGACUCUAAGGAGACUGCCGGUGAGGAACCGGAGGAAGGCGGGGACGACGUCAAGUCAUCAUGGCCUUUAUGGGUAGGGCUACACACGUGCUACAAUGGGGCGUACAGAGGGUCGCGAACCCGCGAGGGGGAGCCAAUCUCGAAAAGCGUCUCGUAGUCCGGAUUGGAGUCUGCAACUCGACUCCAUGAAGUUGGAAUCGCUAGUAAUCGCGAAUCAGCACUGUCGCGGUGAAUACGUUCCCGGGCCUUGUACACACCGCAUAC
Molecule: ribosomal RNA, 439 nt
Filed under: uncultured bacterium
Lineage: Bacteria
Description: bacterial SSU rRNA
Rfam family: Bacterial small subunit ribosomal RNA
Source: RNAcentral